GGUGCGAAUAAUCGAGAAGCUUUUAAUUGGGUUGCUUCUCCGCACGCACGCGCACCCCCUCCCUAGCUCUCUGCCUCCUCCCCACGAUCUCCUCCCACUGCCCACCUCCUUUCCUUCUUCCCCCAAGCCUUGCCCUCUAGGCUGCUCAGCCAAUCCAGGCUCCUCCUCUUUCCCCGGCGAGGCUGGGCGGUGCCCCUCAGCUACCCUCCUCUCCUUGGUUGUGCGGUCGCCGCUCGCUUUCCCGUUCCCAUCAUCCGAUCCGUCCCUCUCUGCUAUUAGUUCUCUCUUGAUGCGUAGGCGGAACGAGCUCUAGAAGAGGAAAGAGGAGGAGAAAAGUAAGGAUGAGAACGGAGGCAGGAGGUGGCACGACUGCGACGAGCUCCGCCUCCUGCUGUUAGGUUUGGGCUUCGCGCUGCUGGGCGUCCGUCAAGCCGAUCUCCUUCCUCACCCUAUUCGAUACCGACGGAUGCUUGGAGACGCGAAAUUUGGUUGGAAGUGGCCUGUUGUAGAUACAUUGGAUGGUACCAGGUUGAUUCCUUUUUCUUUCUUUCUUUCUUUCCUACUGUUCUGUCACUGAAUCUAUGGAUGCUUUGUCUUCUUCUAAGUUUUUUCUUUGAGAAUAUCUGAGUUUGUUUUGUGCUCAUACAGAAGCAGAUCGUGCUCUUUUACAGUAUUUCUGUUACUUCUGUGCGGGUAUUUGCUAUGAAUACAGGUGAUUCGUCUGUUAGUUCUUAUCAACUUAUCCUCCUCCUGAUUUGUCUGAUCGCUCUGUAACUUUUUGUUUCUGGAAUUGGUGCUUUUUUUAUCUCCAAAUUAUGCACAUAGGGUGUGAACCACGCUUCAAAAUUUUUUUGGCAUCAUAGGAGCUGACACACAUGUACGCAUGGGUAUUUGCCAGGCCUUUUCCAUUAAUGAAUCUACGUAUUAAAGCAAUACGGCCAAGCUUCUUUUUGAAUAAUUUCUCAUGUGCAUGAUUUUCACCACCACAGUGAAAGUAUUACACUCAGCAAACAGCAGGUAAAGAUAAUUGCUCCAACAUCAAAUUUCUCCCUCUCAACUCACGUGCGUGAUUUUCACCACCACAGUGAAAGUAUUACACUUAGCAAACAGCAGGUAAACAUAAUUGCUCCAACGUCAAAUUUCUCCCUCUCAACAAGUGAUUACAAUUAGGAAGCUGAAUGUCCCUAUGAUCCCUUUGAGGAUUUUCAUAAUUUAGGUUACACUUAAAUGGAAAUAACAUCAAGAAAAAAUGGUUAGUGUACAGUGCUAUUUUUGGUUCGCUCGUAUUGCAGGUUAUCGAUAGAUGACUGUAUGACCGCUGGAUUUAGGUUAAUAAGACCAAUUAAGUAAUUCACUAUAUUAUCUUGAGUAACUACAUGAUUUUAUAUAUUCAUAUCGUUUUCUAUUAGAAAACUUUUUGAACAGCGCUAUUUGAAUUUCAAGUUUACUUUGUAGCUUUCUGUACCUCUUUCAUCUCCGCAUCUAGGUAGAACGGGGGUUUGGUGCUACCUUUUAUGAGUCUGCUGCAAGGUACAAGUCUCAUACUUAUUCUAAUGAUGUUUUACCUCAAUUUUCUUGAUCCUCUUAUGUGCUAUGCUUUCCUAUUUAUUGUGAGAUGCUUAAUUGUAGGUGCUGUAUUCGCUGGUCUUGGAUAACGUACAAUUUCUCUGCCGGGGCCUUUGUUCAUCUCACCUUUGCGUUCUAGUGAUUCUAAACUAGCUAUUGUUAUUGGCUCUCCUAUUGGCCCCUUUUCCAUCCUGUUUGUUGAUCAUGCCGGGGAGUCUUCAGCUCUCAUUCUUCUGUGGAUACGGAUGCUCGGUGGCACACAAUUCGUCUUGGAAUAGUAAGCUUUUAAGUGAUGCUUAGUUUGGAGAACUCCAACCAAUCAAUAUUAAUUGCAGAAUAAGGUUUAAGUUCAAGGACUCGGCUAAAAAACCAGCAAUUGAUGGUUAUGGAUUCUCAGUGCUCAUGCCAUCUAUGAGAGAUGGAUCCCUGACAGACAUACUGAACUUAGUCUAGAUAGGAGAACCAUGUAAUCAGUACUCUGUUUUCUGUACCUUUCUACACAAGUUAUGUUCCCUGAAAUCGAUUAAAGACUAUCUUCUUCAGUUUUGUUCUCUGUACGGUUUGUUGUUGUAUGUGUCUACAGUCAAUAAAUAUAUCAGGAGUUACUCUUUUA
Molecule: long non-coding RNA, 2179 nt
Organism: Lolium perenne
Lineage: Eukaryota; Viridiplantae; Streptophyta; Magnoliopsida; Poales; Poaceae
Source: RefSeq, a predicted model, not a curated record